Molecule: long non-coding RNA, 300 nt
Filed under: Mustela putorius furo (domestic ferret)
Lineage: Eukaryota; Metazoa; Chordata; Mammalia; Carnivora; Mustelidae
Description: lncRNA (ENSMPUG00000027091.1)
Source: RNAcentral
GAAAAUGUUUUCGGAAUCCAUGACAAGCAAGGCCACAAUGAGGAGGUAUACAAUAACAGAACAAAAAGACAAUCUACAGAAUGGAAGAAGAUAUUUGUACAUUAUAUACCCAAUAAGGAGUUAUUACCUCAAAUACAUAAUUUAUACAACUGAACACAAAAAAAUCCAAAUACUCUAAUUAGAAAAUGGACAGAGUGUCUGAAUAGAAAUUUCUCCAAAGACAUAGAAGUGUUCAACAGAUACAUGAACAUAUGCUCAAUGUCAUUAAUUGUUAGGGAAAUUUUUAAAAAAUUGAAAAAA